This 215-nucleotide unclassified non-coding RNA is filed under the name Hevea brasiliensis (rubber tree). Lineage: Eukaryota; Viridiplantae; Streptophyta; Magnoliopsida; Malpighiales; Euphorbiaceae. The record is from RNAcentral.
GGCCCAUGUAAGUUCUGGAUUUUUUUUUUCCUCUUUUUGUGCCUUCCCUCUUUUAAGGUAGGAAACACGUGUACUGUCUAUGUCAUUGUAAGUGAAGCUCGAGUAGAUUAGCUUUCAUGAUCAUACAACAAUGUUCAUGUCUAGUUGCGGGGGUGGCAAGUUUACAUAUAGUAUAACUACGAAUAAAAAAAAAAAAUCCAGAACUUACAUGGGCC